This 264-nucleotide ribosomal RNA is filed under the name uncultured archaeon. RNAcentral's name for it is "partial 16S ribosomal RNA". It matches the Rfam family "Archaeal small subunit ribosomal RNA", at positions 748 to 1009 of the family's 1478-position model. The record is from RNAcentral.
UAGCCGUAAACGAUACUCGCUAGGUGUCGGCCACGGUGCGACCGUUGUCGGUGCCGUAGGGAAGCCGUGAAGCGAGCCACCUGGGAAGUACGGCCGCAAGGCUGAAACUUAAAGGAAUUGGCGGGGGGAGCACAACAACGGGUGGAGCUUGCGGUUUAAUUGGAUUCAACGCCGGACAACUCACCCGGGGGACGACAGCAAUAUGUAGGCCAGGCUGAAGACCUUGCCUGAAUCGCUGAGAGGUGGUGCAUGGCGUAGACGUCU